Molecule: ribosomal RNA, 588 nt
Filed under: uncultured bacterium
Lineage: Bacteria
Description: partial 16S ribosomal RNA
Rfam family: Bacterial small subunit ribosomal RNA
Source: RNAcentral
UGGGGAAUUUUGGACAAUGGGCGAAAGCCUGAUCCAGCAAUGCCGCGUGUGUGAAGAAGGCCUUCGGGUUGUAAAGCACUUUUGUCCGGAAAGAAAUCCUUGGCUCUAAUACAGUCGGGGGAUGACGGUACCGGAAGAAUAAGCACCGGCUAACUACGUGCCAGCAGCCGCGGUAAUACGUAGGGUGCAAGCGUUAAUCGGAAUUACUGGGCGUAAAGCGUGCGCAGGCGGUUUGCUAAGACCGAUGUGAAAUCCCCGGGCUCAACCUGGGAACUGCAUUGGUGACUGGCAGGCUAGAGUAUGGCAGAGGGGGGUAGAAUUCCACGUGUAGCAGUGAAAUGCGUAGAGAUGUGGAGGAAUACCGAUGGCGAAGGCAGCCCCCUGGGCCAAUACUGACGCUCAUGCACGAAAGCGUGGGGAGCAAACAGGAUUAGAUACCCUGGUAGUCCACGCCCUAAAACGAUGUCAACUAGUUGUUGGGGGAUUCAUUUCCUUAGUAACGUAGCUAACGCGUGAAGUUGACCGCCUGGGGAGUACGGUCGCAAGAUUAAAACUCAAAGGAAUUGACGGGGUCAUAGCUGUUUUUCU